RNAcentral lists this ribosomal RNA (460 nucleotides) under uncultured bacterium. RNAcentral describes it as "partial 16S ribosomal RNA". It matches the Rfam family "Bacterial small subunit ribosomal RNA", at positions 338 to 795 of the family's 1533-position model. The record is from RNAcentral.
GCUACGGGAGGCAGCAGUGAGGAAUAUUGGUCAAUGGACGCAAGUCUGAACCAGCCAUGCCGCGUGCAGGAAGACGGCUCUAUGAGUUGUAAACUGCUUUUGUACGAGGGUAAACGCAGAUACGCGUAUCUGUCUGAAGGUAUCGUACGAAUAAGGAUCGGCUAACUCCGUGCCAGCAGACGCGGUAAUACGGAGGAUUCAAGCGUUAUCCGGAUUUGUUGGGUUUAAAGGGUGCGUAGGCGGUAGUAUAAGUUCGAGGUGAAAUCCCCAGGCUCAAAUUCGGAAUUGCCUCUGAUACUGGUCGGCUAGAGAGUAGUUGCGGUAGGCGGAAUGUAUGGUGUAGCGGUGAAAUGCUUAGAGAUCAUACAGAACACCGAUUGCGAAGGCAGCUUACCAAGCUACUUCUGACGUUGAGGCACGAAAGCGUGGGGAGCAAACAGGAUUAGAUACCCCAGUAGUC